CCUACGGGAGGCAGCAGUGAGGAAUAUUGGUCAAUGGGCUUACGCCUGAACCAGCCAAGUCGCGUGAGGGAAGACUGCCCUAUGGGUUGUAAACCUCUUUUGUCAGGGAGCAACGCCGGCUACGUGUAGCCGGACUGAGAGUACCUGAAGAAAAAGCAUCGGCUAACUCCGUGCCAGCAGCCGCGGUAAUACGGAGGAUGCGAGCGUUAUCCGGAUUUAUUGGGUUUAAAGGGUGCGUAGGCGGAAUGCCAAGUCAGAUGUGAAAACUCAGGGCUCAACCCUGAGCCUGCAUUUGAAACUGUUUUUCUUGAGUGCUGGAGAGGCAAUCGGAAUUCCGUGUGUAGCGGUGAAAUGCGUAGAUAUACGGAGGAACACCAGUGGCGAAGGCGGAUUGCUGGACAGUAACUGACGCUGAGGCGCGAAAGCGUGGGGAGCAAACAGGAUUAGAUACCCCAGUAGUC
Molecule: ribosomal RNA, 461 nt
Filed under: uncultured bacterium
Lineage: Bacteria
Description: partial 16S ribosomal RNA
Rfam family: Bacterial small subunit ribosomal RNA
Source: RNAcentral